GACGAACGCUGGCGGCGUGCUUAACACAUGCAAGUCGAGCGAGGCCCUCCUUCGGGAGGUGUCCUAGCGGCGAACGGGUGAGUAACACGUGGGCAACCUGCCCCCGGCUCUGGGAUAACCCCAAGAAAUUGGGGCUAAUACCGGAUAUGACCGCUGACCGCAUGGUCUGGUGGUGGAAAGAUUUAUCGGCUGGGGAUGGGCCCGCGGCCUAUCAGCUUGUUGGUGGGGUAGUGGCCUACCAAGGCGACGACGGGUAGCCGGCCUGAGAGGGUGACCGGCCACACUGGGACUGAGACACGGCCCAGACUCCUACGGGAGGCAGCAGUGGGGAAUAUUGCGCAAUGGGCGAAAGCCUGACGCAGCGACGCCGCGUGGGGGAUGACGGCCUUCGGGUUGUAAACCUCUUUCAGCAGGGACGAAGCGCAAGUGACGGUACCUGCAGAAGAAGCACCGGCCAACUACGUGCCAGCCGCCGCGGUAA
RNAcentral lists this ribosomal RNA (481 nucleotides) under uncultured bacterium. RNAcentral describes it as "partial 16S ribosomal RNA". It matches the Rfam family "Bacterial small subunit ribosomal RNA", at positions 28 to 523 of the family's 1533-position model. The record is from RNAcentral.